This 1596-nucleotide long non-coding RNA is filed under the name Rattus norvegicus (Norway rat). Its description in RNAcentral is "long non-coding RNA NONRATT024646". The stretch from base 872 to 965 matches the Rfam family "Small nucleolar RNA SNORD113/SNORD114 family". Lineage: Eukaryota; Metazoa; Chordata; Mammalia; Rodentia; Muridae. The record is from RNAcentral.
AAAAAAAAAAACAUCUGGGAGUCCUCUGAGACAUCCAUGAUGACCAGAACAUUGGGAGACUGAGGUCCACCUCAUAAUCUAUGCACUGCAUGAUGGGAUACUGGUUAGAGAUGUUAGAAAUAGUCCAAUUUCAACAAGGAGUUUACAUGUAGAUUAAUUAAAAUUUGGAAAUCGUGUCUACUGACACAUAAUCCCACAAGUAGAGUGCAAAUCAUUUAGACCGGGUAGAUCUGAGCCAGAAACGAUGACAGAGGAAUCCCCAUAAGCCAUGGAAAAUCAUUGUCUAUGUUCCUGGUGACGUCAGAGUCAUGGGUUUUGCUGUGUCAGGAAGAGCCAAUCCAAUUGGAUUGAUAGCUCAAGCAAGGGAUUGGAUAGAGGAGAAGUGAUCAAGGCAGAUAGAUAAAUUAUGGAUGAGUAAAGAGAAAGUCAAUCUUUUGUCAUUUUUUUUCUGCAUUUUACUCUCAGAAUAGAUACCUCCAAGGUGAUCUCCAUGUUCUUCCUCAGUCUUGAGGUUUGGGAUUCCCAGUGUGUGUCAGCAGAAUUGUGAGAGUGUGAGUUCAUCUAUUUUCUUCAGAUCGAUUUUUUUCUUGCAUGUAUUCCCUCUUCCGGUAUGAAUUUAGUAUCUUGGGAGAGCAACUGUAGACAGUGGUUCAAUAAGGAACGCAUAUGAAAAAAAUAUGUUCCAUGAACCGAUUCCUAUGAAGAGUGUGCAAUGACAGAGGUAGUGACCACUGCCAAAGAUGCUCUAGAGUUUAAAGUCCACUCAAGCAUCUGGUACUUAAUGUUAGUUUUCAAUGGAAAUCAAACCAGCAGUACUAGUGAUCAGCUGCUCAAUAAAUGCAGCACAAUUUAGAGCCUGGGGGGAUGAUGUUGGAUCAUUGAUGAGCAAAAAAAAAAAAAAAUAAACACCUGGGAGUCCUCUGAGACAUCCAUGAUGACCACAACAUUGGGAGUCUGAGGUUCACAUCAUAAUCUAUGCACUGCAUGCUGGGUUCCUGGUGAGAGAUGUUAGAAAUAGACUAAUUUGAAUAAGGAGUUUACAUGUAGAUUAAUUAAAAUUUGGAAAUCGUGUCUACUGACACAUAAUCCCAUGAGUAGAGUGCAAAUCAUUUUACCGGGGAGAUCUGAGCCAGAAACGAUGACAGAGGAAUCCCCAUAAGCCAUGGAAAAUCAUUGUCUAUGUUCAUGGUGACGUCAGAGUCAUGGGUUUUGAUGUGUCAGGAAGAGCCAAUCCAAGUGGAUUGAUAGCUCAAGGAAGGGAUUGGAUAGAGGAGAAGUGAUCAAGGCAGAUAGCUGUAAAUUAUGGAUGAGUAAAGAGAAAGUUAAUCUUUUUGUCAUUUUUUUUCUGCAUUUUACUCUCAGAAUAGAUACCUCCAAGGUGAUCUCCAAGUUCUUCCUCAGUCUUGAGGUUUGGGAUUCCCGGUAAUAGAUACCUCCAAGGUGAUCUCCAAGUUCUUCCUCAGUCUUGAGGUGUGGGAUUCCCGGUGUGUGUCAGCAGAAUUGUGAGAGUAAUACAUACCUCCACGGUGAUUUCAGAGUUCUUCCUCAGUCCUGAGGUUUGGGAUUCCCGGUUUGUGUCAGUAGAAUUGCGAGAGU